Molecule: ribosomal RNA, 301 nt
Filed under: uncultured bacterium
Lineage: Bacteria
Description: partial 16S ribosomal RNA
Rfam family: Bacterial small subunit ribosomal RNA
Source: RNAcentral
CAGUAGCCGCGGUAAGACAGAGGAUGCAAGCGUUAUCCGGAAUGAUUGGGCGUAAAGCGUCUGUAGGUGGCUUUUCAAGUCCGCCGUCAAAUACCAGGGCUCAACCCUGGACAGGCGGUGGAAACUACCAAGCUGGAGUACGGUAGGGGCAGAGGGAAUUUCCGGUGGAGCGGUGAAAUGCGUAGAUAUAUGGAGGAACACCGGUGGCGAAAGCGGCUCUCUGGCUUGUAACUGACGCUGAGGCUCGAAAGCGUGGGGAGCAAACAGGAUUAGAUACCCCUGUAGUCCCUGUCUCUUAUAC